RNAcentral lists this non-coding RNA (113 nucleotides) under Mycobacterium sp. RNAcentral describes it as "TPP sequence". It matches the Rfam family "TPP riboswitch aptamer (THI element)". Rfam says of the family: Vitamin B(1) in its active form thiamin pyrophosphate (TPP) is an essential coenzyme that is synthesised by coupling of pyrimidine and thiazole moieties in bacteria. The previously detected thiamin-regulatory element, thi box was extended, resulting in a new, highly conserved RNA secondary structure, the THI element, which is widely distributed in eubacteria and also occurs in some archaea. Lineage: Bacteria; Bacillati; Actinomycetota; Actinomycetes; Mycobacteriales; Mycobacteriaceae. RNAcentral also lists the same sequence under 1 other name. The record is from RNAcentral.
UUCCGUCCGCGCGGGAGCGCACGCAAGUGCGCUGAGAGGACGGCUAGAGCGCCGUCGACCGUAUGAACCUGACCGGGUAAUGCCGGCGUAGGGAGUAUUGAGAUGGAUCGCAU